UGGGGAAUAUUGCACAAUGGAGGGAACUCUGAUGCAGCGACGCCGCGUGAACGAAGAAGGCUUUCGAGUCGUAAAGUUCUUUUAUAUGGGAAGAUAAUGACGGUACCAUAAGAAAAAGCCCCGGCUAACUACGUGCCAGCAGCCCCGGUAAAACGUAGGGGGCUAGCGUUGUCCGGAAUCACUGGGCGUAAAGGGUUCGCAGGCGGAAAGGCAAGUAGGGUGUAAAAGGCAGUAGCUUAACUACUGUAAGCAUUUGAAACUGCAUAUCUUGAGAAGGGUAGAGGUAAGUGGAAUUUUUGGUGUAGCGGUGAAAUGCGUAGAUAUUAAAAAGAAUACCGGUGGCGAAGGCGACUUACUGGGCUCAUACUGACGCUGAGAAACGAAAGCGUGGGUAGCAAACAGG
RNAcentral lists this ribosomal RNA (403 nucleotides) under Fusobacteriota bacterium. RNAcentral describes it as "Fusobacteria bacterium partial 16S ribosomal RNA". It matches the Rfam family "Bacterial small subunit ribosomal RNA", at positions 355 to 776 of the family's 1533-position model. The record is from RNAcentral. Lineage: Bacteria; Fusobacteriati; Fusobacteriota.